This 563-nucleotide ribosomal RNA is filed under the name uncultured bacterium. Its description in RNAcentral is "bacterial SSU rRNA". It matches the Rfam family "Bacterial small subunit ribosomal RNA", at positions 338 to 916 of the family's 1533-position model. The record is from RNAcentral.
CCUACGGGAGGCAGCAGUGGGGAAUCUUGCGCAAUGGGCGAAAGCCUGACGCAGCAACGCCGCGUGCGGGAUGAAGGCCUUCGGGUUGUAAACCGCUUUUAACCGGAACGAAAAUGACGGUACCUGUAGAAUAAGGUGCGGCCAACUACGUGCCAGCAGCCGCGGUGACACGUAGGCACCAAGCGUUGUCCGGAUUUAUUGGGCGUAAAGAGCUCGUAGGCGGUUCAGUAAGUCGGGUGUGAAAACUCUGGGCUUAACCCAGAGACGCCACUCGAUACUACUGUGACUAGAGUUCGGUAGGGGAGCGGGGAAUUCCUAGUGUAGCGGUGAAAUGCGCAGAUAUUAGGAGGAACACCGGUGGCGAAGGCGCCGCUCUGGGCCGAUACUGACGCUGAGGAGCGAAAGCGUGGGUAGCAAACAGGAUUAGAUACCCUGGUAGUCCACGCCGUAAACGGUGGGCACUAGGUGUGGGCUCCAACCAACGGAGUCCGCGCCGUCGCUAACGCAUAAGUGCCCCGCCUGGGGAGUACGGUCGCAAGGUUAAAACUCAAAUGAAUUGACGG